Molecule: transfer RNA, 74 nt
Filed under: Eigenmannia sp. CBM-ZF-10620
Lineage: Eukaryota; Metazoa; Chordata; Actinopteri; Gymnotiformes; Sternopygidae
Description: tRNA-Lys
Rfam family: tRNA
About the family: Transfer RNA (tRNA) molecules are approximately 80 nucleotides in length. Their secondary structure includes four short double-helical elements and three loops (D, anti-codon, and T loops). Further hydrogen bonds mediate the characteristic L-shaped molecular structure. tRNAs have two regions of fundamental functional importance: the anti-codon, which is responsible for specific mRNA codon recognition, and the 3' end, to which the tRNAs corresponding amino acid is attached (by aminoacyl-tRNA synthetases). tRNAs cope with the degeneracy of the genetic code in two manners: having more than one tRNA (with a specific anti-codon) for a particular amino acid; and 'wobble' base-pairing, i.e. permitting non-standard base-pairing at the 3rd anti-codon position.
Source: RNAcentral
CACUAAGAAGCUAAAACGGACCCAGCGUUAGCCUUUUAAGCUAAAGAUUGGUGGCUCCUAACCACCCCUAGUGA